GACGUAGGUGGCAAGCGUUGUUCGGAAUCACUGGGCAUAAAGCGCGCGUAGGCGGCUGGGUAAGUCACGUGUGAAAUACCUCGGCUCAACCGAGGAACUGCGCGUGAUACUGCCCGGCUUGAGGUCCGGAGGGGAGAGUGGAAUUCCCGGUGGAGCGGUGAAAUGCGUAGAGAUCGGGAAGAACGCCGGCGGCGAAAGCGACUCUCUGGUCGGAAUCUGACGCUGAGGCGCGAAAGCUAGGGGAGCAAACGGG
This 253-nucleotide ribosomal RNA is filed under the name uncultured bacterium. Its description in RNAcentral is "partial 16S ribosomal RNA". It matches the Rfam family "Bacterial small subunit ribosomal RNA", at positions 524 to 776 of the family's 1533-position model. The record is from RNAcentral.